Molecule: long non-coding RNA, 3139 nt
Filed under: Homarus americanus (American lobster)
Lineage: Eukaryota; Metazoa; Arthropoda; Malacostraca; Decapoda; Nephropidae
Description: uncharacterized LOC121866165, transcript variant X11
Source: RNAcentral
GAGUGUACUGUAUAUAUGUUUUAAAAAUACAAUACUGGAAAAGGCAGGAAACUGUACCAACAAAUGGGGUAUUUUUAGGGGGGAGGGGGUUCAGUUCAACUUAAAUAUAGUAUUUUGCCAGUAAUUUUGUGCUAAAUUAAUGCUGUACUGUAUAAUAGGUAAAUGAUUAAACUUGAACAGUAACUAUUGUGUACCGAUCAUAGUUAAUGUUACUGAUCAAAUAUUACAGGUUAUAGCCUACCUACUAAUUGUGCUGCGAGUGUUGUUCUCUGAAUUGUUGUUAUACAAGUUGAUUUGUCUUGAUAUAAGUGGAUAUUUGGACUUGAUAUAAGUAUAAUUUGUCUAUAAAGGUUGACGGUUUAAUGACUUAUUUCAGAUUUGAGUGGGAGGUGGAUGACCUUUGUAGGGUAUUUGACCUUGGCUGAAGCCUUUAUAUACAAUAUACAGAAGUGUGUGGGAGGUGGAAGAGCAUUCUUGGCUAUUUGACAUUGGCUGAAGUCUUAUAAAGAUUUGAAAGUAACACCACACAUGGUGGAGCUAUUUAACUCUGCAAUCACGUACGAGAAGGAAGAACCAGGGGACGGUGACGAACUGGACUCCACCAUUAUCAUGCUCCACCACCAUUUGAGUUUAUGAUUUGGCCGUGAAGCUUGUCGUACAUGUGGCAACCCUGUUCCUAUGCGAUUUGAGUGGGAGGUGGAUGACCUUUGUAGGGUAUUUGACCUUGGCUGAAGCCUUUAUAUACAAUAUACAGAAGUGUGUGGGAGGUGGAAGAGCAUUCUUGGCUAUUUGACAUUGGCUGAAGUCUUAUAAAGUGUUGAAGAAGAAGAAGGAGGGGGGUCCACGACGUUGUUGCUGUCACUUACUCGAAUCAGUUAUCUCUGGGACUCGCUAAGACUAGUUGUCAAAUUUUUCUACUUCGGCCGUGGAAAGUGUAUCAGUUUUCCCCCGUCUCUGAAAACCUGAGGGGGGAAAUUCACCCUGGUUGAGAACCCCUGCUUUAUAGUUUACAAAGCCAUCUGAGUUACUUUCUGAAAUUCUGAUUGAUAGUUUUCAAAAUGAUUAGUUUUUGCAAAGUGUCUUACGACAGUGGUAGAAAAUAUAACAAAUUAUGGGAAGAAAAAUUCGUCUGUGUUAGUAUAGCCAGUGAUGGAAGUGAAAAUGGUCCAGUUCCAAGGAAAAUGUUGCAGAGAUUUGAAAGUAACACCACACAUGGUGGAGCUAUUUAACUCUGCAAUCAUGUACGAGAAGGAAGAACCAGGGGACGGUGACGAACUGGACUCCACCAUUAUCAUGCUCCACCACCAUUUGAGUUUACGAAGUGUGUGGGAGGUGGAAGAGCAUUCUUGGCUAUUUGACAUUGGCUGAAGUCUUAUACAGUGUAGAAGAAGAAGAAGGAGGGGGGUCCACGACGUUGUUGCUGUCACUUACUCGAAUCAGUUAUCUCUGGGACUCGCUAAGACUAGUUGUCAAAUUUUUGUACUUCGGCCGUGGAAAGUGGUUGGUCACGGCCAAACUAUUUGGCCGAAUUUUGUGUUAAUACCUCAUCUAGUGGAUUUUGAAGACAUGUCUAACAGAUUUUCAAAUUUCUCAAUUGAAACGUGUCCAGCAUAUGGGUUAAGCUUUAUAGCAGUGGUUCUCAACCUUGUUUGCUCCAUGCACUCUUUUCACCAUAUGUCAGAAUGUCAUUCCUCCCUCCUUUCCAAGAUUGUCUGCCUCAAAAAUUGCAUUCCAAAUAAUAUGCAUAUAAUACUGAAAAUCCUUUAUUAUUUCCAUAUUAGUAUCAGUUUUCCCCCGUCUCUGAAAACCUGAGGGGGGAAAUUCACCCUGGUUGAGAACCCCUGCUUUAUAGUUUACAAAGCCAUCUGAGUUACUUUCUGAAAUUCUGAUUGAUAGUUUUCAAAAUGAUUAGUUUUUGCAAAGUGUCUUACGACAGUGGUAGAAAAUAUAACAAAUUAUGGGAAGAAAAAUUUGUCUGUGUUAGUAUAGCCAGUGAUGGAAGUGAAAAUGCUCCAGUUCCAAGGAAAAUGUUGCAGAUUUGAAAGUAACACCACACAUGGUGGAGCUGUUUAACUCUGCAAUCACGUACGAGAAGGAAGAACCAGGGGACGGUGACGAACUGGACUCCACCAUUAUCAUGCUCCACCACCAUUUGAGUUUAUGAUUUGGCCGUGAAGCUUGUCGUACAUGUGGCAACCCUGUUCCUAUGCGAUUUGAGUGGGAGGUGGAUGACCUUUGUAGGGUAUUUGACCUUGGCUGAAGCCUUUAUAUACAAUAUACAGAAGUGUGUGGGAGGUGGAAGAGCAUUCUUGGCUAUUUGACAUUGGCUGAAGUCUUAUAAAGAUUUGGCCGUGAAGCUUGUCGUACAUGUGGCAACCCUGUUCCUAUACGGUAUGUGUUAAUUGUGGUUAAUUUCAUGUUCACGAAGAUUUAAUGUUAAAUAUUUUAAGUGUUUAUUCGGACGUACUUCACAAGAUUUGGUAUAUAUUUUGGCUAUAGAGACGUACUGUAGAUGUGUGUUCUUAUUUUAUUGCAUUACAGUUGUACAAAGACUACAUUACUUAAUUUUUAGUUACAAUAUUAUUCAUUCGAGGACCGUGAAGACGAGUACACAAGACUGUUAGUUUCCGUUAACGGAACUGUUGUUGCACAAAAUCGGAAACAUUCUGCUAUAACUUAAAGUAGGCCUACAGUACUGUAGCUGUCGUUGUGGUUUUAGUUUUGUUUAAGGAUUUGUUCACCUUUAAAAAAAAAAAUAGAGUAAUUGUUAACUUACUUUGAAAUAAUUACAUAUUUAAAGUAUGCUUUGCUUGUAGGUUUUAAAAAGCCUUUAUAGAUACAGGGUAUUCUUAAAUAUGUAGACCAUCUUUACGAUACGAAGAAGUUAGUUUUCACGUUGUCAAAAUAUUGAUUUUUCCAAAAAUAAGCUUGACCUAAAUCCCUUAGUCUCCAGCAUUUGUAAGAAAGUAGUUUAAAUUUCAUACUAAGGUACUUUACACGAUUUUAAAUCUUGGUAAUUGUGUUAAUAUGAGGGCAACUGGUGAACUCUUUUAAUGCUGGCUGACUGGCUUUUCCUCUAGUCUUCCUACGCUGCCAGACAUACCAUGCAAUGCCUGCCUCGGCCCCAGCUUGCUGGCAG